RNAcentral lists this ribosomal RNA (333 nucleotides) under uncultured Atopobium sp. Its description in RNAcentral is "bacterial SSU rRNA". It matches the Rfam family "Bacterial small subunit ribosomal RNA", at positions 975 to 1313 of the family's 1533-position model. The record is from RNAcentral. Lineage: Bacteria; Bacillati; Actinomycetota; Coriobacteriia; Coriobacteriales; Atopobiaceae.
CAGGGCUUGACAUAUAGGUGAAGCGGCGGAGACGUCGUGGCCGAAAGGAGCCUAUACAGGUGGUGCAUGGCUGUCGUCAGCUCGUGUCGUGAGAUGUUGGGUUAAGUCCCGCAACGAGCGCAACCCUCGUCGCAUGUUGCCAGCGGUUCGGCCGGGCACCCAUGCGAGACCGCCGGCGUCAAGCCGGAGGAAGGUGGGGACGACGUCAAGUCAUCAUGCCCCUUAUGUCCUGGGCCGCACACGUGCUACAAUGGCCGGCACAGUGGGUUGCCAGCGCGCAAGCGUGAGCGAAUCCCAAAAGCCGGUCUCAGUUCGGACUGGAGGCUGCAACUC